RNAcentral lists this ribosomal RNA (617 nucleotides) under uncultured tremellomycete. RNAcentral's name for it is "eukaryotic LSU rRNA". The stretch from base 182 to 335 matches the Rfam family "5.8S ribosomal RNA". The record is from RNAcentral. Lineage: Eukaryota; Fungi; Basidiomycota; Tremellomycetes; Tremellales.
UCCGUAGGUGAACCUGCGGAAGGAUCACUAGUGAUUAAAUCGAGCGUGUCUUCAUUGACCGCUCACCCUUCUCACCAUCCACAUACACCUGUGCACUGUUUAGCCUGAGCCGGUUCGGUUCAGGUUAUCAUUUCAUACAAACUCUAGUCUUAUGAAUGUAAACGUUUUAAUAACAUAAUAAAACUUUCAACAACGGAUCUCUUGGUUCUCGCAUCGAUGAAGAACGCAGCGAAAUGCGAUAAGUAAUGUGAAUUGCAGAAUUCAGUGAAUCAUCGAAUCUUUGAACGCACCUUGCGCUCCUUGGUAUUCCGAGGAGCAUGCCUGUUUGAGUGUCAUGAAACUCUCACCCUCUAGCUUUCUUAAUCGUGGCUAGCGGCGUGGACGUGAGCGCUGCUGCUUUGUUGCGGCUCGCUCGAAAUGCAUUAGCAGACCCUUUUCGUAAUCGGUUCCACUCAACGUGAUAAGUAUUUCGUUGAGGACAGUUGCAGCAAUGCGGCUGGCCGGGAUAAGAAAGGCAUAGUUGUCAGCUUCUAAUCGCCCUUGGGCAAUUUUUUAUGAUCUGGCCUCAAAUCAGGUAGGACUACCCGCUGAACUUAAGCUCAUCAAUAAGCGGAGGA